ACGCUGGCGGCAGGCCUAACACAUGCAAGUCGAGCGGUAGAGAGAAGCUUGCUUCUCUUGAGAGCGGCGGACGGGUGAGUAAUGCCUAGGAAUCUGCCUGGUAGUGGGGGAUAACGUUCGGAAACGGACGCUAAUACCGCAUACGUCCUACGGGAGAAAGCAGGGGACCUUCGGGCCUUGCGCUAUCAGAUGAGCCUAGGUCGGAUUAGCUAGUUGGUGAGGUAAUGGCUCACCAAGGCGACGAUCCGUAACUGGUCUGAGAGGAUGAUCAGUCACACUGGAACUGAGACACGGUCCAGACUCCUACGGGAGGCAGCAGUGGGGAAUAUUGGACAAUGGGCGAAAGCCUGAUCCAACCAUGCCGCGUGUGUGAAGAAGGUCUUCGGAUUGUAAAGCACUUUAAGUUGGGAGGAAGGGUUGUAGAUUAAUACUCUGCAAUUUUGACGUUACCGACAGAAUAAGCACCGGCUAACUCUGUGCCAGCAGCCGCGGUAAUACAGAGGGUGCAAGCGUUAAUCGGAAUUACUGGGCGUAAAGCGCGCGUAGGUGGUUUGUUAAGUUGGAUGUGAAAUCCCCGGGCUCGACCUGGGAACUGCAUUCAAAACUGACUGACUAGAGUAUGGUAGAGGGUGGUGGAAUUUCCUGUGUAGCGGUGAAAUGCGUAGAUAUAGGAAGGAACACCAGUGGCGAAGGCGACCACCUGGACUAAUACUGACACUGAGGUGCGAAAGCGUGGGGAGCAAAC
Molecule: ribosomal RNA, 745 nt
Filed under: uncultured bacterium
Lineage: Bacteria
Description: bacterial SSU rRNA
Rfam family: Bacterial small subunit ribosomal RNA
Source: RNAcentral